GUAGGGAGAGUGAAAGCAUUCUCUGCAGGGGGUGUAAUCCAGCUCAUUUAAUCAAUGUAGCUUUACUCCGAUUUCUUACCUUUAGAGUUUAAGGAACUAAAAAGCAAGACCCUCUGGUGAUUCUUCCACUGUGCCUUCUUUCUGGCCUCUUGGAUUCAGCUGGGGCAUUUGUCGAUUGAUUUUAUUUAAGGCACUGUUCUUGACUUGCUUCUUUUGCUAACAUCCCUCUGUUUUCAAUCUUCACCGAACAUCCUUUAUGUCUUACUAAGGAAUUCAGCAUUUCCUGCCUAAACCAUUGUAAAAGUCAUAUUUGUGGAUAUUUUGUGAUAUGAGAAUAUCCAUACAAUUUACCUUCCCUGGUAAGGUCAAAAUUCUCUUCUUAAGAGUUAAUCAUAGGUGAGCAAUCCCCAAAAGGUAAUCACCCAAAAUUUAAAAAUAAAGCAAGAGAAUAUAAAGCCAAAUAAGAUAUCUCUGAUAUUAUUUUCCAACUGUGUACAGGAUCUUAUUGUUGGGCAUUAAGGUCCUUCUAAGCUUGCCCUAACUUAUCUUUCUUAGAUAUUUACGUGGAUAAUAUCCUCUAUGUUCUAGCCAUGCACUAGCUCUAAACUUUCCUCAAAAUAUUAUGUUAGUUUCUCUGCUGGGAGAAAAUUCAGGGAGGCUGAAGUGCAGACAUUCAGUUAGUUAGACAACUGUAGCUCAGUCACUGUCUGGCUGAGCUUCCCACUCUUGGCAGCUGACUUAAUGUUUCUUCACUCUUUACAGAUGGAUAAAAAUUGCAAAUUGGCCAAGAUGGAGUGUCCUAUCUAUACCACCCAUCACACAGAACAUUGAAAUGCAUCUAUAUUAGUGAUUGCUGAGGACAAGAAAACAAACUGAAGAAAAAGAACCUCCAGGGAGACAAGGAGGCAAGCAUUUGUGGGAGAAGAUACAGCUGAUGACAAGAAGUUUGCUAAAUUUCGAGUAAAUAAUUGAGGCCAAGGGUGGGCAAGUGUGAGAGUAUAGAAACCCUCAGCACCCUUUUCUCAUGGACCUCUUGAGAAAUAUGGGAACACAGCGAGACGCAGAAGCAAACUUCCUUUGUGGUGAAAGUGUAAGGGAGAGAACAGUGGUGCCCACAGGCAAAGCUUCACUAAAGUCCUUCACUCCUAUCGCUCCUAUGGUACAAAACAAAAAGCUGGUCCAGGAAGGCUUGCAAAGCUGUUCUUCCCAUGGAAAAUCUAUGGCAGUUGUGGUAAGGGAAGACUGAGGGAGGGAGUCAGAGAGAGGAAGAAAAUAAGGAAGAAGUCUACUUUUGGAGAAAGACAAGAAGCAUCCAGAUUGUUAGACAUUCUUCUGGCCAGACCUACUGAGAAAAGGGUACUGCACCUACUUAAGACUGUGGUGAACCAAACAUUUCUUGGAAGAAAACAGCUUUUUCCCAUCUCUAGUACUUUUCAUUUCAACAAGAAUUUCAUAGAAAAGCAUCCUUUUGAAAGUAUGUUCCUGGCGCAACUGGCAAUAUAUCAUCUCUAUAUUCAAUAUAUAAUUCAAGAUAAAAUCAAAUAUAGGUCAGGAUGAUUAUUUUUGAAAUGUAUACCAAUCAAUGUAUUGGAAUAAAGACAUAACUUCUACCUUUGAUAACCUGGAAAUAUUUUUUGAGACACAUAGUUUUGGAUGUCAAAGGAAGAGAAAAAAUGUUAGAGGCAGCUAUGAGGAUGCGACAAGGAAUCCAGGCCAAGUUUUCAGGCAGGAAUAUGAAAGGGGUGAUUAACGAAUCAUGAGCAGACCGACUUGACUAACCCAUAAAGGUGAUGGCUACUUAACAGGCCUGGAAGCAGAUGAGGUGUAGUCUCAAACCAGCUUAAGUAUUGGGGGGCGAUGGGGACAAUAUUGAGCACAUACUUAUUAAAUAAUAGGAAAGUGUCAGUUAUGCCUUUGGUGGCCAGGGCAAAAAGAGAUUGGCAACAGGGGGAUUUUCAUGAAGCUCUUCUACAAAUGCUAUCUGUGGGUUUGUUCAAAGCUUGAGCUCAAACAAGGUCAUAGAUGUAGAAAGGAGCGCACCUGUGUAAGGGGGAUCUACUGGAGCAUUCAUGCCCCAACCUAACAGUGUGCAAAACACAUUGUGCACUCUCCACAAGAACAGUGACAUGUUUGAAGAAUACUCAUUCAUUUUUUAAAUAUAUUGAUUAUCCUUCAGAGUCACAGUUAGGAAAAUGUAUGCAGUCUUAAUCUUGAGAUCUAAAGACCAGAAGAGUAAAUGCAAAUUUUACUAACGCAAUAUAUUUUGCCAUAAAAUUUACCAUAAAAUGAUCAUUCCACACUCUUCAUCUCAUGUGGAUCAUAUAAGCCAACAUGUUUUUAUCAAAACUCCCAUUAUUAUAUUAUUAUUGACAUUAUUAGCACAAAAAACAGGAUUUGAAAUGGAAAAUAAUAGCACCAAAUGUAUGUAUUCAAAUAAUAUCAUUUACACAGGUAUAGCCAACAGAGGAUGAGAUUAAAGAUCCAUGACAAAAUAAAGUGAAGAAAACAGAAUUAAGAAAUCCUGAUGUACAUAAAGUUAGUGUCUUCUCAAGUUUCUAAGAGAGUUCACUCUGAAAAGCCUGCAAAUGCAAAGGAGCAUUGUAAAGAUUGCAGUGAUGUGGGAUCUCUCAAAGAUACCCAGCUGUAUUAGGGUUCUCCUGCGAAAAUGGAAGAUGCAUACAUAUAAAAUGAGAUUUGGCUCACCUAAUUAUGGAGGCCCAGAAGUCCCACAGCCUGCUUUUUGCAAUCUUGGGAGAAGCAGCAAAACAGAAGGGUAAUUCAGUUUUAGUCUAAAGACCUGAGAAUGGGGGUAAGGUUUAUUUGUGUAAGUCAUAGAGUCCAAAAGCCAGAGAACAAGGAACAGCGAUAUCAGAGGGCAGGAGAAGAUGGAUGUCUCAGCUCAAAAAGAGAGCGCAAACUUGCCCCUCCUUUACAUGUUUGUUCUAUUCUGGCUCAUAAUAGAUUAGUUAAUGUUUGCCAUCAUUGGUGAAGGCAAUCUUCUUCACUCAGUCUUCAAAUACAAAUGCUAAUACCUCCCAGAAAUGCCCUCACAGAUACAUCCAGAGGUAAUAUUUUACCUGCUCUCUGGAUAUCCCUUAGCCCAGUCAAGUGGACACAUACAAUUAGCCAUCAAUGCCAUCUAUGGAACCAAAAUAGAAAUCAGUACGGAAAGAUCAGUGUGAGGCCAUCAGCUGCAAUAAGAAGGGGUAAAAGUCAUAUGCCAAAUGUCCCGGCCCCCAAACUAUGACCAAUGACGCCCUUCUCUCGAGUUGAUCAUCUACAAUAUUAGACAAUGUGGUCAUGAAUAAUAAUUUACUUGUAACAUUUUUAAAUGAAGCUAAUAUGAGAAAAUGGCCAUAAGGAUGUGAUGCACUGUUAACUCUGACAGAAUUAUAAGUUAUUUUACACCUCAAACUAGUAGCUUCUUUGUCUGUUAAUAACAUUUUACCUACUGGACACUGACAUCAUCCAGGAAUUCUUAAUUCACAUUCCAAAUCUUUUAGUAGUGACUUUCAAGUAGCAGGGUUUGUCAUGG
This 3535-nucleotide long non-coding RNA is filed under the name Homo sapiens (human). RNAcentral describes it as "HSALNT0122941". Lineage: Eukaryota; Metazoa; Chordata; Mammalia; Primates; Hominidae. The record is from RNAcentral.